This 496-nucleotide ribosomal RNA is filed under the name uncultured bacterium. RNAcentral describes it as "partial 16S ribosomal RNA". It matches the Rfam family "Bacterial small subunit ribosomal RNA", at positions 29 to 507 of the family's 1533-position model. The record is from RNAcentral.
AUGAACGCUGGCGGCGUGCCUAAUACCUGCAAGUCGAGCGAACGGACGAGAAGCUUGCUUCUCUGAUGUUAGCGGCGGACGGGUGAGUAACACGUGGAUAACCUACCUAUAAGACUGGGAUAACUUCGGGAACCCGUAGCUAAUACCGGAUAAUAAUUUGAACCGCAUGGUUCAAAAGUGAAAGACGGUCUUGCUGUCACUUAUAGAUGGAUCCGCGCUGCAUUAGCUAGUUGGUAAGGUAACGGCUUACCAAGGCAACGAUGCAUAGCCGACCUGAGAGGGUGAUCGGCCACACUGGAACUGAGACACGGUCCAGACUCCUACGGGAGGCAGCAGUAGGGAAUCUUCCGCAAUGGGCGAAAGCCUGACGGAGCAACGCCGCGUGAGUGAUGAAGGUCUUCGGAUCGUAAAACUCUGUUAUUAGGGAAGAACAUAUGUGUAAGUAACUGUGCACAUCUUGACGGUACCUAAUCAGAAAGCCACGGCUAACUACGUG